GAGGGUAUAGCUCAGUGGUAGAGUUUGCAUUUAGCAUGCACAAGGUCCUGGGUUCAAUCCCCAGUACCUCCA
Molecule: transfer RNA, 72 nt
Filed under: Camelus bactrianus (Bactrian camel)
Lineage: Eukaryota; Metazoa; Chordata; Mammalia; Artiodactyla; Camelidae
Also listed under: 2 other names
Rfam family: tRNA
About the family: Transfer RNA (tRNA) molecules are approximately 80 nucleotides in length. Their secondary structure includes four short double-helical elements and three loops (D, anti-codon, and T loops).
Source: Rfam by way of RNAcentral